CCUGACUGCUAUCGGAUUGAUACUAAGCCAUGCGAGUCAUUGUAGUAAUACAAGGCAGACGGCUCAGUAACACGUAGUCAACCUAACCUAUGGACGGGAAUAACCUCGGGAAACUGAGUAUAAUGCCCGAUAGAACAUUAUGCCUGGAAUGGUUUAUGUUCCAAAUGAUUUAUCGCCGUAGGAUGGGACUGCGGCCUAUCAGUUUGUUGGUGAGGUAAUGGCCCACCAAGACUAUUACAGGUACGGGCUCUGAGAGGAGUAGCCCGGAGAUGGGUACUGAGACACGGACCCAGGCCCUAUGGGGCGCAGCAGGCGAGAAAACUUUGCAAUGUGCGAAAGCACGACAAGGUUAAUCCGAGUGGUUUGUGCUAAACGAACCUUUUGUUAGUCCUAGAAACACUAACGAAUAAGGGGUGGGCAAGUUCUGGCGUCAGCCGCCGCGGUAAAACCAGCACCUCAAGUGGUCAGGAUGAUUAUUGGGCCUAAAGCAUCCGUAGCCGGCUCUGUAAGUUUUCGGUUAAAUCUGUACGCUCAACGUACAGGCUGCCGGGAAUACUGCAGAGCUAGGGAGUGGGAGAGGUAGACGGUACUCGGGAGGAAGGGGUAAAAUCCUUUGAUCUUUCGAUGACCACCUGUGGCGAAGGCGGUCUACCAGAACACGUCCGACGGUGAGGGAUGAAAGCUGGGGGAGCAAACCGGAUUAGAUACCCGGGUAGUCCCAGCUGUAAACUAUGCAAACUCAGUGAUGCAUUGACUUGUGGUCAAUGCAGUGCUGCAGGGAAGCCGUUAAGUUUGCCGCCUGGGAAGUACGUACGCAAGUAUGAAAC
Molecule: ribosomal RNA, 827 nt
Filed under: uncultured archaeon
Lineage: Archaea
Description: bacterial SSU rRNA
Rfam family: Archaeal small subunit ribosomal RNA
Source: RNAcentral